GGUGAGUAACGCGUAUCCAACCUGCCCACCACUUGGGGAUAACCUUGCGAAAGUAAGACUAAUACCCAAUGAUAUCUCUAGAAGACAUCUGAAAGAGAUUAAAGAUUUAUCGGUGAUGGAUGGGGAUGCGUCUGAUUAGCUUGUUGGCGGGGUAACGGCCCACCAAGGCUACGAUCAGUAGGGGUUCUGAGAGGAAGGUCCCCCACAUUGGAACUGAGACACGGUCCAAACUCCUACGGGAGGCAGCAGUGAGGAAUAUUGGUCAAUGGACGAGAGUCUGAACCAGCCAAGUAGCGUGCACGAUGACUGCUCUGUGGGUUGUAAACUGCUUUUAUAAGGGAAUAAAGUGAGUCUCGUGAGACUUUUUGCAUGUACCUUAUGAAUAAGGACCGGCUAAUUCCGUGCCAGCAGCCGACGGUAAUACGGAAGGUCCGGGCGUUAUCCGGAUUUAUUGGGUUAAAAAGGGAGCGUAGGCCGGAGAUUAAGCGUGUUGUGAAAUGUAGAUGCUCAACAUCUGCACUGCAGCGCGAACUGGUUUCCUUGAGUACGCACAAAGUGGGCGGAAUUCGUGGUGUAGCGGUGAAAUGCUUAGAUAUCACGAAGAACUCCGAUUGCGAAGGCAGCUCACUGGAGCGCAACUGACGCUGAAGCUCGAAAGUGCGGGUAUCGAACAGGAUUAGAUACCCUGGUAGUCCGCACGGUAAAC
RNAcentral lists this ribosomal RNA (706 nucleotides) under uncultured bacterium. RNAcentral's name for it is "bacterial SSU rRNA". It matches the Rfam family "Bacterial small subunit ribosomal RNA", at positions 105 to 807 of the family's 1533-position model. The record is from RNAcentral.